CGCACAUUGCACCCCUCGGUAUUCCGGGGGGUAUGCCUGUUCGAGCGUCAUUACAACCUUCAAGCAUCGCUUGGUAUUGGGCACCGCUCCCCCUCUGGGGGUCGGCAGGCCUGAAAUUCAUUGGCGGUCCGGCGCAGCCUGGGGCGAAGUAAAACAUCUUCCCCGCCUUGCAGGCUCGCGCUCGGGUCCGGCCAGAACAUGGGGUUCCCUCCGGGGGACCCCUUCUCACGAUUGACCUCGGAUCAGGUAGGGAUACCCGCUGAACUUAA
This 269-nucleotide unclassified non-coding RNA is filed under the name Cladia terebrata. RNAcentral describes it as "partial contains 5.8S ribosomal RNA, internal transcribed spacer 2, and large subunit ribosomal RNA". Lineage: Eukaryota; Fungi; Ascomycota; Lecanoromycetes; Lecanorales; Cladoniaceae. The record is from RNAcentral.